UACAGAGAGUGCAAGCGUUACUCGGAAUUACUGGGCGUAAAGCGCGCGUAGGUGGAUCUUUAAGUCGGAUGUGAAAGCCCUGGGCUUAACCUAGGAAUUGCAUUCGAUACUGGAUGUCUCGAGUAUGGUAGAGGGAAGUGGAAUUUCCGGUGUAGCGGUGAAAUGCGUAGAUAUCGGAAAGAACACCAGUGGCGAAGGCGGCUUCCUGGACCAAUACUGACACUGAAGCGCGAAAGCGUGGGGAGCAAACAGG
This 253-nucleotide ribosomal RNA is filed under the name uncultured bacterium. Its description in RNAcentral is "partial 16S ribosomal RNA". It matches the Rfam family "Bacterial small subunit ribosomal RNA", at positions 524 to 776 of the family's 1533-position model. The record is from RNAcentral.